UGGUCAUAUACCAAGGCUUUUGGGAUAUUCGGUUCCUGACUUGCCAUGGAAUUGACCAUAAAGUAAACCUUGUUCCAUUCCAGUGGGUCCCCAGCGCCAUACUGGGGUGAUCUAUUGGGAACAUCA
Molecule: small nucleolar RNA, 126 nt
Filed under: Hucho hucho (huchen)
Lineage: Eukaryota; Metazoa; Chordata; Actinopteri; Salmoniformes; Salmonidae
Description: Small nucleolar RNA SNORA32 (ENSHHUG00000044164.1)
Source: RNAcentral